RNAcentral lists this ribosomal RNA (451 nucleotides) under uncultured bacterium. RNAcentral describes it as "bacterial SSU rRNA". It matches the Rfam family "Bacterial small subunit ribosomal RNA", at positions 251 to 719 of the family's 1533-position model. The record is from RNAcentral.
GGUGAGGUAACGGCUCACCAAGGCGACGAUCAGUAGCCGGCUUGAGAGAGUGAACGGCCACAUUGGGACUGAGACACGGCCCAAACUCCUACGGGAGGCAGCAGUGGGGAAUAUUGCACAAUGGGGGAAACCCUGAUGCAGCGACGCCGCGUGAGUGAAGAAGUAUUUCGGUAUGUAAAGCUCUAUCAGCAGGGAAGAAAAUGACGGUACCUGACUAAGAAGCCCCGGCUAACUACGUGCCAGCAGCCGCGGUAAUACGUAGGGGGCAAGCGUUAUCCGGAAUUACUGGGUGUAAAGGGUGCGUAGGUGGUAUGGCAAGUCAGAAGUGAAAACCCAGGGCUUAACUCUGGGACUGCUUUUGAAACUGUCAGACUGGAGUGCAGGAGAGGUAAGCGGAAUUCCUAGUGUAGCGGUGAAAUGCGUAGAUAUUAGGAGGAACAUCAGUGGCGAA